GCCGCUUGUGCGCAUGUGCGUGCAUGCAUCCAGAGGUUACCACAGGUUACCACGCGCGACUGAGUAAAUACAGGUGGAUAUUAAUCAGUUCGAUGACUCAAAUACUUCUUGCCAUCAACGGACAACGUUUCAUACUACAGUACGUGAUCUGGAGCUUGACUUCACCUGUUUUGUGGUGAUUAACAAAUUGUGCGGUGCUUUUGGCAUUGUCUAUCCAUGUAUAAUUGUGAUGUUCCAGGAGUGUUAAUGGAAGCUACACAGUAUGUAGAUGUUUGUUCCAUUAUGUGUAUGUGUGUGUACCUGGUAAUUAUCACGUUGUGGGGACCGAAUGUCCCCACAAAGAUAGGAAUACCAGUAAAUUUUGACCUCGUGGGGACAUUUGUGAGGUCCCCAUGAGGAACCAAGCUUAUAAAUUAAACGGAAUGAUUUUCUUGGAUUUUUUCUUGAAAAUCUAAGGUCGCAGAAAGUUUUCUGUGAUGGUUGGUGUUAGGGUUUGGGGAAGGGAAUAGAAUAUACAGUUUGUACAGUAUAAAAUGCAUUAUGUCUAUGGAAUGUCCCCACAAAAGAUGGAAACCAGAAUGUGUGUGUGUGCGUGCCAUGGAACAAAUAUUUAUUUUUAUAGCUUUUUGUGUGUUCUGUUUUUGACUUUCCCUCUGAUAUCAAGACACCAAAAUAAUCUUUUA
This is a non-coding RNA of Paramisgurnus dabryanus, 683 nucleotides long. The record is from RefSeq and is a predicted model, not a curated record. NCBI's taxonomy places the organism in Eukaryota, Metazoa, Chordata, Actinopteri, Cypriniformes, Cobitidae.